UUAUUAAGUAAAUAUAGAUUGAGAUUAGUCCCACUUUGCAUUAGUCUGCUCUGAACGCAUUGCUUGUAGGUGUGUGCAUCAAUCCUCGCCUUUACAUCUUAACAGAGAUCUCGCUGGGACCAUUAAAGACGACUACUUGACGGGAUAUGAAACGGCUUUAAGUGGGGACCAAACAAACCUAAAAAAUGUCCCUUGUUUUUCUCGUUGGGGCAGUGUCCCGGGGGCCAGCGGGAUUCAUCAGGAGGUAACUGACAGUCAACGUUGCAAAAUCGCCAGCACCAGCAGAGGAACUAAAUUCAUGGGAAUGAUUUGAGAGAUAACAAUCGGUCAAGUACGAGAGUGUCACAUUCGCUAAAUGAACUCCUAAUAAGAAGUCCCUCGGUCCUCUCGGCGACGCCAAAUGUACUAUCAUCUUUGAUUUCAAGAAGGUGAUACUUAGGCUUCUCUCGACCGAUGCCAAAGCGGAUGUCCCACAGCCCCUAAGAAUAACAGGGGAGAAGAGAAGUGAGGAAUAGAAGCGAACUCGCCACUUCCGAUCGCCCGAAUUUGCCUUCUGUCUCAAACGCCUGUUCGAAAAGAUACGAUUCGAGUAUGUUGCUUGUGUGGAUAUCACACUUCCGGAGAGAAGUCUGAAAGAUGAUGAUUCCUUAGAUUAUUCUGCAUCAUGCAUACGGUUUUCUCAAAAUUAGGAAAGGUAAUGGGAAUCUACUUUGAUGGAAACUGGAGCUAUCAGAGAUCAGAUCUUCAAGCAAAAUCAUUAGCUCGUUUGGUAAAGGAAAAAUCCAUAAACAUCGUCUACGAACUAGCCCUAGAACAAUUUUCUUUCACAAUUCUUCGUUUAGUUUCCCGAUGACGAAAACUAUUAUUUGCAUCAACCUAUUGUAAUUUACAUCACUAUUGCGUAUCAAUAUGUGUGAAUAUAGUUUAGUUUCGGCCUUAUUAUAAAUUUACUGCUACUACUAAUGCAUUAGUUGGAUAAUACUGUGUGGUGAGAAAUAUCACAUUGUGCAAAAUCGGAUGACCGUGACCAUGAAUUAGAACCAUAAAUUAGACCAUAAUAUAAUUGCACUCACUUUUCGCUUUGUACUUUGUAAGCAAGUACAUACAUAUAUAUAAACACACAAAAAUACAUAUUUUCAUACCUAUGCCCGCAUAAGCAUGCACGCACAUAUUUACAUACUUACGUGGGUACUAAUAGGCAAAAGGCGGGAUAAAAACCCACGAUAGCAUACUUGUAAUAUUAAGCACAUAUACCAUUAGUAGUGUAAUGAAAUUCAAUAAUUUGUGUCUCCGAAUUUUUAGGUCACAUAAAACCAAUUUUUUUUAUUGUACAUUUCUUUUUUUUAAUCGGCUUACUUAAAGUCUAACAUAAAGUGAUAAAAUCUUAAAUCUAUUUAUAACUAAACAAGCUCAAGAUUGUGAUUAAGCUUUUUGCUAAUGCGUUGCUCUUUAAAAAACUGGAAUAUCUCUUAUUUUCAAGUGGUUUUGAUAACAGGAGCUAGCUAAUGGAUCCGGAUGUUCUCGAAAUUUAAGUUCGUAUUUUUCAGACCUCUGCUAGUUUCUUUACCAUUAAAAUACCAAGAUAUUUAUGAACGUUUUCAUUUCGAAAGUACUAUGGUGAGUCGUUAUCGCUCUAAGGCUUUUUAUCUGAGAUCUCUGUGCUAUGUUAAUGUUUGUUGCACAGGUCGCACCCCACAUUAGAAUACCAUACAUUCAAAUCGGCUUUAUUACCACAUUGUAUAUCAGAACUUUGUUAUAAAGACAUAGCUUACAACUUUUAAUUGAAAGUUUAAAUUUGCUGCUCAUAUUUUAUGCUAGUUAUUUUGGUGGAUAUAUGUAUUCUUCAUGUGAGCCUUCUGUCUAAGCGAAUGCCCAGUAUUGUCUUUUAUAUAAAAGGCCGUCGUGCCACACCUUAUCGAAUGAUUGGGCUACAUCAAGGAAUAUUGCUUAAUAGUGCUCUCUGUGCUCGAAUGCUUUUCUGAUUUCUUUAUUUAUUCAAAUUACUUGCUCUACAGUGCCAUGCUUUUGACGGUUCCCUUAUUGGUGUGUUUGAAUUAUAUUAUUUUUAUGGAGAAAAGGGGACAUCAUUAAUAGUAACAUUUCUUUGAAUAUUUUCGAAAAUUAGAGUAAGAGGCUUAUUGGUCUGUAAGAAGACGACUGUGUUAAGUAUUUCUCGGGUUUAGCUAUCAGGAUGAUCUGCGACUUUUCCAUGAAUUUGGAUAAUAUUCAAAAAAUAAAAUUGCAUUAAAAAGCAAGGAGAGCAUUACUGCAGCAAUAAUUGGUAGCUUCAUUAGCAUAUUUGCAGUAAUUUCAACUUUGUGAAUCUUUUAAAAUUGGCAGCUCAAAGUCGUUUUUUCGACAAUCAGGCUGAAUUGCCAUCUCUAGGUGGUUUGCGAAGCAAAUUACUUUUUCCUUAUCACUUCGAGCCAAUUUACUACUCACGUAUCUUAUGGACAUGUAGGAAUCUACCGUGGCAUAAUGUGUUUUUGGGCUUUCCAAAGUAGUUUUGUUUGUUGGUUGUAUUUGGGCUAAAUUUCUUUAGAAUUUGGCGAUGAAAAUAAGUACAAUAUUUGAUUAUCGACUCUUUACAUAAAUUAAAUUACCAUAUUAUUAUAUAGGCAAUAGGUUUCGUUUUUAAAUAUAGUCUGUAUACUUGUUAAAUAAAUUAUGGGUACACUCGUAGUUUAUAUGGUAGCUGCCUCUGUAUUUCAGCAUUUUGCGAUGAAAAUAUUUACAAUAUUUUAUUCCCAACUCUUUACAUAAAAAUAUUACCAUAUUAUUAUAUAGUUCUAGGUUUAGUUUUAAAAUAUAUAGACGUCUUAAACAAAUUAUUUGUUGAAUUUGCAAAAUCUUCAUAGUAUAAAAUACGGAAGAUAUAUGUAUUUCUUUCUUAAAAAGUUGUUUAAAAUUAGCUUACGAAACAAUGUUGUGUCAUGCCAUGCUCACUAGCAAUACUGGCAACAUAUUUUAAUAUUUUUAUAUGAUUGAAUAUUUAGUAAAAAUAAGUAACGCGUCUAGUUGCAGACCCCAUGGUGGUGGGAAAAAAAUCUAACGAAAUAAAACAUAUAUUGUUUGGCAAAGAAAA
Non-coding RNA from Bactrocera oleae (olive fruit fly), 3085 nucleotides. NCBI's taxonomy places the organism in Eukaryota, Metazoa, Arthropoda, Insecta, Diptera, Tephritidae. The record is from RefSeq and is a predicted model, not a curated record.